AUGUGCCACGCGUACACUCCUCCGCGCCGUCCGCACCCACCCGACGACCGCUCGCCACGUUCUGUUAGCC
This 70-nucleotide small RNA is filed under the name Xanthomonas vesicatoria. Its description in RNAcentral is "sX9". It matches the Rfam family "Xanthomonas sRNA sX9". Lineage: Bacteria; Pseudomonadati; Pseudomonadota; Gammaproteobacteria; Lysobacterales; Lysobacteraceae. The record is from RNAcentral.